GUACACACCGCCCGUCAAGCCAUGGAAGCCGGGAGUGCCUGAAGUGCGUGACCGCAAGGAGCGCCCUAAGGCAAUACCGGUGACUGGGGCUAAGUCGUAACAAGGUACC
This 109-nucleotide ribosomal RNA is filed under the name uncultured bacterium. RNAcentral's name for it is "partial 16S ribosomal RNA". It matches the Rfam family "Bacterial small subunit ribosomal RNA", at positions 1383 to 1500 of the family's 1533-position model. The record is from RNAcentral.